AGAGCGUGAACAUGAUCUAUUUUAUAGGCUCGUACAGCUGUAUCUUUAACUAUAAAAGAGGCAAGCAACUAACUCUGGUUGAUGAAAAGUGGCUUCUGGCUCGAGCGUGAUUAACAGUUCUGAUCCAUUCGAAUCGAGUUGUGGAGGAUCGUUCUCAGUUGGCCACCACCCGCUGAGAUGGCCCUGAAGCUUUCUAACAGAUU
Small nucleolar RNA from Dendrobium catenatum, 203 nucleotides. RefSeq annotates it as small nucleolar RNA U3. The record is from RefSeq and is a predicted model, not a curated record. Lineage: Eukaryota; Viridiplantae; Streptophyta; Magnoliopsida; Asparagales; Orchidaceae. The transcript has a single exon.